UCACAUAAUAUCCCUGAAGAAUAUGUCGGA
RNAcentral lists this non-coding RNA (30 nucleotides) under Rattus norvegicus (Norway rat). Lineage: Eukaryota; Metazoa; Chordata; Mammalia; Rodentia; Muridae. The record is from RNAcentral.